GUGGCUCUCACUUUAGCAGCACAUAUACUAAAAUUGGAAUGAUAAACAAAAGAUUAGCAUGGUGCCUCCUCAAGGAUGACAUACACAUUUGUGAAACAUUCCAUAUAUGU
Small nuclear RNA from Meriones unguiculatus (Mongolian gerbil), 110 nucleotides. Lineage: Eukaryota; Metazoa; Chordata; Mammalia; Rodentia; Muridae. The record is from Ensembl.